GCAAGAGAUCAGGAGAGCUGUCACCUGGCCGGGAGAAUUUGUAUCCCUUUGUGUCCUGUCUCAGGAGAAAGGGGGAGCAGAUGGAGCCUUUCUUCUGCUUGCUGUUUCUCCAUUGCCUUCAGCUCAACAGCAAACUUUAAAUUGAAGCUACAGAUGACAGAAUCUGCACACAUAGCAACGGGGAUGAUCAGAAGCAGCAAACGCAGUCAUGUGGGGUGACUCCAUUGCUCUCAUCAUCAUCCACGCGUGAACAUUUCGAAGCAUUUCUAUUGUUUUCAAACCCAAACUCCAUUUUCAGUUCUUCCACCUGCUAGCUAUGUGGUCCAAGGUGAGUGAUGUAGGCAGAUAGAUAGAGAGAGAGAGAGAGAGAGAGAGAGAGAACACAGCACAUAUUACACUCUGAGUAUGAGUUCUUAAAGACGUAUUUAUUAUAUGUAUGUACACUGUGGCUGUCUUCAGAUGCACCAGAAGAGGACAUCAGAUCUCAUUACCAUAGUUGUGAACCACCAUGUGGUUACUGGGAUUUGAACUCAGUACCUUCGGAAGAGCAGUCAGUGCUCUUAUCUGCUGAGCCAUCUCUCCAGCCCCGAGGGCUAUCUUUCCAUCCUACCUACUAGUAAAAAGAUCUGAGUUCAAGUCCUACCUGGACUACAGAACAAGUUCAAGGCCAGCCUGAGCAAUUUAGUGAGACUCAGACUCUAAGUAACAAAAACAACAGCAACAACAGAAAGAAAGCUGAGGAUAUAGCUCAGUGGUAAAAUGCUUGCACAGCAGGUCUGAAACUUCAAGUUCAAUCCUCAGUAUGGGGAGGGAAAAAUCAGGUUACUUGGAGGGAUGGUUCAAAUGGCACAGAGCACCUCCUGAUAGCCACCGAGGUUGUUUGUCUCUGUGGUCUGCCCUACUCUGGAUAUUCCAUAUAAAUGGAACCACGUAUCAGGCUUUUGUGUGUAUCUGGCUUCAUUCGCUCAGAAUGAUUUCAGCGUAGCAUGUAUCAGUGUUCCAUGUGUAUGUGUAAUGACCAAGAUUGUGUUAGUUACUUCCAUCUCCGUGUGACCAAAGUAUGUGACAGAAACUUAAAAGAGGAUUGAGUCUUUUUUUUUAAUUAGGUAUUUUCUUCAUUUACAUUUCAAAUGCUAUCCCAAAAGUCCCCCAUACCCUCCCCUGCCCAUGCUCAUGAAUUGGGUCUUUUUAAGCUUUUUUUUUUUUUUUUAAAUGUGUAUGGGUGUUUUGCCUGCACAUGUGUCUGUGCACCACAAACAUGCCUGGUGCUGGAGCUACAGAUAGUUGUGGACCUUCAUGUUGGCACUGGGAAUCGAACUCUGAUCCUCUAGAAGGCCAGUCCAUACUGGGCCAUCUCUCCAUCACUAGGAAGGAUUAAUCUUGAUCAGAAUUUGGAAGUGUGGGGAAGUCUUGGUGGAUGUCCUAGUGGGGAGCAGAGAUUGAUGGAGUUGUGUGUGGACUAGAAAGCAGAGUGCGGAAUGACAACUGGCUGAGGGGCUGGUGAGAUGGCUCAGUGGGUAAGAGCACCCGACUGCUCUUCCAAAGGUCCAGAGUUCAAAUCCCAGCAACCACAUGGUGGUUCACAACCAUCCGUAAAGAGAUCUUACUCCCUCUUCUGGAGUGUCUGAAGACAGCUACAGUGUACUUACAUAUAAUAAAUAAAUAAAUCUUAAAAAAAAAAAAAA
This is a long non-coding RNA of Mus musculus (house mouse), 1685 nucleotides long. RefSeq annotates it as predicted gene, 41144. The record is from RefSeq and is a predicted model, not a curated record. The transcript has 4 exons. Lineage: Eukaryota; Metazoa; Chordata; Mammalia; Rodentia; Muridae.